CGGGAUAUUGCGUAGUAAGGUUAUCGCGCCUGGUUUGGGACCAGGAGGUCAUAGGUUCGAAUCCUAUUAUCCCGA
Molecule: transfer RNA, 75 nt
Filed under: Candidatus Karelsulcia muelleri
Lineage: Bacteria; Pseudomonadati; Bacteroidota; Flavobacteriia; Flavobacteriales
Description: tRNA-Pro
Rfam family: tRNA
About the family: Transfer RNA (tRNA) molecules are approximately 80 nucleotides in length. Their secondary structure includes four short double-helical elements and three loops (D, anti-codon, and T loops).
Source: RNAcentral